AAUAUUGGACAAUGGGCGAAAGCCCGAUCCAGCCAUGCCGCGUGUGUGAAGAAGGUCUUCGGAUUGUAUAGCACUGUAAGUUGGGGGGAAGGGCUUUAGGCCAAUACCCUGAAGUUUUGAUGUUUACAAAUGAGUAAGCACAGGCUCACUUUGUACCAGCGCCCGCGGUAAUACAGAGAGAGCAAGAGUUAAUCUGAAUUACUUGGAGUAAAGCGCACGUAGGUGGUGCAGUAAGAUGGGUGUGAAAACCCCAGGCUUAACCUGGGAACUGCUUUCAUAACUGCUGAGCUAGAGUACGGUAGAGGGUAGUGGAAUUUCCUGUGUAGCGGUGAAAUGCGUAGAUAUAGGAAGGAACACCAGUGGCGAAGGCGACUUCCUGGACUGAUACUGACACUGAGGUGCGAAAGCGUGGGGAGCAAACAGG
Molecule: ribosomal RNA, 424 nt
Filed under: uncultured bacterium
Lineage: Bacteria
Description: partial 16S ribosomal RNA
Rfam family: Bacterial small subunit ribosomal RNA
Source: RNAcentral